Molecule: non-coding RNA, 61 nt
Organism: Fukomys damarensis (Damara mole-rat)
Lineage: Eukaryota; Metazoa; Chordata; Mammalia; Rodentia; Bathyergidae
Source: Rfam
UGUAGCUUAGUGGUAGAGCACUUGCCUAGCGUGCAUGAUGUCCUGGGUUUAAUCCCUAGUA